AUUGAACGCUGGCGGCAUGCCUUACACAUGCAAGUCGAACGGUAACGCGGGGCAACCUGGCGACGAGUGGCGAACGGGUGAGUAAUAUAUCGGAACGUGCCCAGUAGUGGGGGAUAGCCCGGCGAAAGCCGGAUUAAUACCGCAUACGACCUACGGGUGAAAGCGGGGGGAUCGCAAAGACCUCGCGCUAUUGGAGCGGCCGAUAUCAGAUUAGGUAGUUGGUGGGGUAAAGGCCUACCAAGCCUACGAUCUGUAGCUGGUCUGAGAGGACGACCAGCCACACUGGGACUGAGACACGGCCCAGACUCCUACGGGAGGC
RNAcentral lists this ribosomal RNA (319 nucleotides) under uncultured bacterium. Its description in RNAcentral is "bacterial SSU rRNA". It matches the Rfam family "Bacterial small subunit ribosomal RNA", at positions 30 to 349 of the family's 1533-position model. The record is from RNAcentral.